UGCACCUUUCAGUUAAUUUGUUGGUUAAGUGAUUUCAUUUAAUAUGAUGCAGGGAUUUAUUGCAACCACCUACUAAGUAUCUUGGUGCCUUUAUAUUCGCCUGUUGCUCUUCUCUUUAGCUCACACCGUCAUCUCAUCAUAUCUCUCUGCCUUCCUCUCGCUAUUGUUUCUCUCUAAUCUUUGUCAUCUUCAUCUCCGUUUCUCCAUCAUGUCUUAUGUUUUUACUUGGAAGUUGAGUGACCUUCAUCCAUCAGACACUUGCUAGGAGAUCCGUGUUCGAGUGAAUCAUGGUUUUCUGAAAACAAAGCUCGAUAUCUAUGGAGCAGAGCAUGGCGAAGAAAUUACUUUCACUUGACUUUAUCUUUGUUGAUAAUCAUAGUGAAAGGAUGCUUGCUUCAGUAGUUGGGGACCAUCUCAUCUAACAUUUCUUUGGAAGCAUUGAUGAGGGAAAGUGCUACUAUAUCAAGGGCUUUACUGUUCAACUUGGGGGUGAAGGAUUGAACAACCACUGCAAGAUUAUCUGUGGAGCUCGGACUGAAGCAGAGGAGUGGGACGUCUUGAUGGUUGAGCAUGGUUUCUGAAAAUCUUCUUAUUGGUUCUAAUAUGCAGGGAUUAAAGCCAUAAGGAACUUUUCUCCAACUACUCGUGUCUUUUGGAGUCCUGAAUCUGUUGAAGCUGGUCAGAAGAUUGCUGCCCUUGUCCAAGCUUACUCUCCUAAAUGAACUCCAUGAUGAUCAGCCUCUUUUGUGUUUAUUUUUGUUUUUAGGCCCAUGAUAUGUGAAUUAAAAGAACCAGUUAUCUUCUUUAGGACUUAUGUUGUCCUACUUCAAUAGUCAACUAAUAUUUUCUCAUCUUUUAUUUUCUGGCUCCACUUUUGUAAUUAUCCAUGCUGUUUCUUUUAUAUUAUGUGGACGAUUCCGAUUCUCUUGUGGUGGGAAUAUUUAGUGUUGAUAUGAACAAGUUGUGGCAGUGUUUCACUUUUCUCUUU
Prosopis cineraria is the source of this 988-nucleotide long non-coding RNA. RefSeq lists it as uncharacterized. The record is from RefSeq and is a predicted model, not a curated record. NCBI's taxonomy places the organism in Eukaryota, Viridiplantae, Streptophyta, Magnoliopsida, Fabales, Fabaceae. The transcript has 2 exons.